This 1251-nucleotide ribosomal RNA is filed under the name Halonatronomonas betaini. RNAcentral describes it as "Bacterial large subunit ribosomal RNA". It matches the Rfam family "Bacterial large subunit ribosomal RNA", at positions 1 to 1207 of the family's 2925-position model. The record is from Rfam by way of RNAcentral. Lineage: Bacteria; Bacillati; Bacillota; Clostridia; Halanaerobiales; Halarsenatibacteraceae.
AGAGAAGAUAUAAAGGGCCCACGGUGGAUGCCUGGGCACCCAGAGUCGAAGAAGGACGUGAUAGGCUGCGAAAAGCCUCGUGGAGCUGUCAAAUAAGCGUAGAUGCGGGGAUAUCCGAAUGGGGAGACCCGCCAGGUAGAAGGCCUGGCAUAUAUAGUUGAAAGAAGUAGGCUAUAUAGGACAAGCAGGGGAAGUGAAACAUCUAAGUACCCUGAGGAAAAGAAAUCAAAAGAGAUUCUCCAAGUAGCGGCGAGCGAACGGGGAUGAGUCAAAAAGGCUAUGGUGUAAGCCUGCAAGCGUUGCCAUAGUCUGGUGUGGAUGUAUUGUACUUAUCUUUGCAGAGAUAAGGCUGCUUAAAAACGAGCUUUAGACGAAUAGCCUGGAAAGGCUAACCAGAGAAGGUAACAGUCCUGUAGUUAAAAAGGCAAGUUAGUGGUAAUACAAUCCGAAGUAGCACGGAUCACGAGGAAGUCCGUGUGAAGCAGGGGGGACCACCCUCCAAGACUAAAUACUCCUGGGUGACCGAUAGCGAACAAGUACCGUGAGGGAAAGGUGAAAAGAACUCCGGAAGGAGAGUGAAAUAGAACCUGAAACCGUGGGUUUACAAACAGUGGGAGAGCAGAUAAAAAGGCUCGACCGCGUGCUUUUUGUAUCACGAACCGGCGAGUUACACUCUGUAGCGAAAGGUUAAGCUGAAAGCAGCAAAGCCGUAGCGAAAGCGAGUCUUAAGAGGGCGCAAGUUGCAGGGAGUAGACCCGAAGCCAGGUGAUCUAUCCAUGACCAGAGUGAAGCGGGAGUAAGACCCCGUGGAGGCUCGAACCGCGGUGGCGUUGAAAAGCCAUGGGAUGAGUUGUGGAUAGGGGUGAAAGGCCAAUCGAACCUGGAUAUAGCUGGUUCUCCUCGAAAUAGCUUUAGGGCUAGCCUUAGAGAAAAGAUAUACGGCUGUAGAGCACUGAUUGGACUAGGGGCCCAACAAGGUUACCGAAUCCAUUCAAACUCCGAAUACCGUAUAUUGUUCUCUAGGAGUCAGACUAUGUGGGAUAAGCUUCAUAGUCGAAAGGGAAACAGCCCAGACCACCAGCUAAGGUCCCCAAGUAUAGACUAAGUGGGAAAGGAAGUGAGGUCGCCAAGACAACCAGGAUGUUGGCUUAGAAGCAGCCAUUCAUUUAAAGAGUGCGUAAUAGCUCACUGGUCAAGUGGCCUCGCGCCUAAAAUGUAACGGGGCUAAAGUCUAUCACCGAAGCUGUGGAU